GCUGUUGGCUGUUUUUUAUUCAUUUCGCACUUUUUGUUUGUCUUUAAAACUUAUUGUUUUCGGUUGCGUUUAGGACAGCUGUGGUGGUUCACUGGUGUAGGGGGCCUUUUUUUGUUGUCGUAUUCCGGGUUUGAAUCUGUGCCGUUGUUUUUUUACUGUGUUUUUCUCCCUUUUAAAAGCCAGCCUACGUGGCUCACCACCGCCCUUCUUUUUUUAAGUUCUGCAUCAUCGCUUCCUCCCUGUUUUCUUCAGCCUGUGUUGUUUUGAAGAUGAGGAUGUUGAAUGGUGAAAGGAGUGGACUGGUGCAGAGGUCUUAGUACAGUUGUGGUUAUUCGAUGUUGUUGAUUCUAAAUGAUAAGUAUAAUCGUUCCGCUGU
Molecule: long non-coding RNA, 376 nt
Filed under: Helianthus annuus (common sunflower)
Lineage: Eukaryota; Viridiplantae; Streptophyta; Magnoliopsida; Asterales; Asteraceae
Description: hypothetical non coding rna
Source: RNAcentral